Molecule: ribosomal RNA, 253 nt
Filed under: uncultured bacterium
Lineage: Bacteria
Description: partial 16S ribosomal RNA
Rfam family: Bacterial small subunit ribosomal RNA
Source: RNAcentral
UACGAAGGGUGCAAGCGUUACUCGGAAUUACUGGGCGUAAAGCGUGCGUAGGUGGUGAGUUAAGUCUGUCGUGAAAGCCCCGGGCUCAACCUGGGAAUGGCGAUGGAUACUGGCUCGCUAGAGUGCGGUAGAGGAGAGUGGAAUUCCCGGUGUAGCAGUGAAAUGCGUAGAGAUCGGGAGGAACAGCAGUUGCGAAGGCGGCUCUCUGGACCAGCACUGACACUGAGGCCCGAAAGCGUGGGGAGCAAACAGG